GGCAUUAAUAUCCAAGGAUGGAGUAGAAUGU
This 31-nucleotide non-coding RNA is filed under the name Macaca fascicularis (crab-eating macaque). Lineage: Eukaryota; Metazoa; Chordata; Mammalia; Primates; Cercopithecidae. The record is from RNAcentral. RNAcentral also lists the same sequence under 1 other name.